This 203-nucleotide ribosomal RNA is filed under the name uncultured Lactobacillus sp. RNAcentral describes it as "partial 16S ribosomal RNA". It matches the Rfam family "Bacterial small subunit ribosomal RNA", at positions 159 to 355 of the family's 1533-position model. Lineage: Bacteria; Bacillati; Bacillota; Bacilli; Lactobacillales; Lactobacillaceae. The record is from RNAcentral.
GAUGCUAAUACCGGAUAACAACAGAUGAUGCCUAUCAACUGUUUAAAAGAUGGUUCUGCUAUCACUCUUGGAUGGACCUGCGGUGCAUUAGCUAGUUGGUAGGGUAACGGCCUACCAAGGCGAUGAUGCAUAGCCGAGUUGAGAGACUGAUCGGCCACAUUGGGACUGAGACACGGCCCAAACUCCUACGGGAGGCAGCAGCA